Molecule: non-coding RNA, 20 nt
Filed under: Mus musculus (house mouse)
Lineage: Eukaryota; Metazoa; Chordata; Mammalia; Rodentia; Muridae
Source: RNAcentral
UGGUAGAAAUCUCUGAGGAU